This 200-nucleotide unclassified non-coding RNA is filed under the name Agonimia sp. RNAcentral describes it as "partial internal transcribed spacer 2". Lineage: Eukaryota; Fungi; Ascomycota; Eurotiomycetes; Verrucariales; Verrucariaceae. The record is from RNAcentral.
UUAAGUUCAGCGGGUAUCCCUACCUGAUCCGAGGUCAACCAGAAAAAAUGACGGUUAAGACCGAGCCGGAGGAUCGCUGUGAUGCGUGCUAAGAAGCUCGCUGCAUCCAGGUCCGUACAGGCUCUGCCAUUAUCUUUGAGGUCCGUUGAGAUUUACAUUCAACGGGACCCAAUAACAAGCCAAGCUUGAGGGUUGAUAAU